UUUUGUUAUAGAAACCACUCCUACUUCUGCUU
This 32-nucleotide non-coding RNA is filed under the name Mus musculus (house mouse). The record is from RNAcentral. Lineage: Eukaryota; Metazoa; Chordata; Mammalia; Rodentia; Muridae.